This 391-nucleotide long non-coding RNA is filed under the name Pan troglodytes (chimpanzee). Its description in RNAcentral is "long non-coding RNA NONPTRT017475". The record is from RNAcentral. Lineage: Eukaryota; Metazoa; Chordata; Mammalia; Primates; Hominidae.
CAGCUGCUCAGCCUGGCACCAAUGGCUUGUCCUGCACCAGUGCUUGGCAUGGGGUCAGGAGGACAGUUUGGGAAGAGUCUCCAGCAGACCGGCAUGCCUGGUCUCACAGAUGACUUCCCAACCCCGUGCCAAUGGGAAACCAACAGAGGCAAGUGGCCAGGGUGGAGAGCCUGGGAGGCAGAGCAGGUGGCCCUGGCACAGCAGGUCUGGCCCAGCAGAAAUCCCUCAAAGGUGGUGCAUGGAGCCUAGACCUGGGACCCAGGAGACCUGGAUCAGUUCCUGCCUCUUCCACAGACAUGCUAUGUGACCACAGACUGGUGCCUUCAUCGCUCCGGGUCUCAAAACUCCUGUCUGGCCUUGAGCCCUGCUUCUCUUCACUGGCUGAUGUGCA